Molecule: long non-coding RNA, 1022 nt
Filed under: Homo sapiens (human)
Lineage: Eukaryota; Metazoa; Chordata; Mammalia; Primates; Hominidae
Description: HSALNT0401262
Source: RNAcentral
AGCCCACCCCUUCCCAUCCUUCAAAACCCAGACAAAGGCUAAAGCAACUCCUCCCGCGCCCCUCCUUUUCUCUCCACCCACACAAACACGUACACACGCAUGUGCCAUCUACCCCAAACCCUUGCUCUGAAGUCACAGGCCUGACUUCCAGACUAGGCUCUGCCCCUAAGGAAAUCACCUUUCUGGUCUUAGUCUCCCCAUCUGAAAAUGGCAUAACCAACCUACCUGCCUCAAAUACAAGACCCUGCUUGUGAAGCGCCCACGCAACGACUACGCACCCGAACCCUGCCUCCGGCACCCUUGGCCACACUCGCCACACUUACACGCGCGCACUUCUCCAGAGGACGCACGAUGGGAAAGAGAGAGUUGGGACCCGCAGGAGGGGGCAGGGCACUGACCCGGUGCCGCCCAGCAGGGCAGCGUCUCCUGGCUCAGACCAGUGCUAGAAGUGUCCAGUCUAGCAGCUCCUGGACCAAGACUCCGUGGCCAUUCCCUUCCUCCUGCCUUCCAUCCACCCCCUUACGAUACAGAAGUUGAGAUACAGAGAGGUGAAGGAACUUGUCCCAGGCCCUACAGCUAAGACAAGGUCUCACACUGUCCAGAGGCUGAAGCACAGUAGUGCAGUCAUGACUCACUAAGCUCAAGAUCAAAAAAAAAAAAAGAGAGAGAGAAAAUUCAUUACCAGUGGACGUUCUGUAAGCAGAAGAAAUAUGAUACCUGAGAGAAACUUGGAUCUACAUAAAGAAAUGAUGAUCUCUGGAAACAGAUAGAAUAAAGAAAUGACGUUAAACAAAAUAACAUUAUUUGAGGACCUGCUGUACCGUGAAAGAAUGGCUAAAGGAAGUUCUCCAAACAUAAAGGAAAUGAUGAAAGAAGAAAACCCGAAACAUCAGGAGUGAAGAAAGAACAAUGGAAAUAAUAAAAAUAUGGGUAAAUAUGAUGGGCUAUCCUUCUUCACUUGCAUUUUCUAAAUUAUGUUUGAUGGCUAAAACAGAAAUUAUAUAACAUGGUCUGAUGUGGAU